This 998-nucleotide ribosomal RNA is filed under the name uncultured low G+C Gram-positive bacterium. RNAcentral describes it as "partial 16S ribosomal RNA". Lineage: Bacteria; Bacillati; Bacillota. The record is from RNAcentral.
CGGCGGCCUCCCACACCGCAAAGGCCACCGUGCACUGUAAUCGGCGUCUNCGGUCUCAACAGAGUAUAAACGCACAGAGUAAUAAUAAAACACAAUAACAAUAAUGACGCCGGAUAACAACAAAGCGAUAUACGGCGGCCCGGACACCGACGAGGUACAAACAGGAGCAUCUCCCGCGGACGCACAAGUAUACAAUGAAUACGACAAAAGCCCUUAUAGUUAGAACAUACCGGCACAGACUAAAUAACAAUACAUCGCAGAUCGGCCUCCGUGCGGAUGUUCAUAGAUAAUUUAAUCAUGAACGUAAUUAGUGAUUGCGUGUGGAUGUGCGCGCUACCCCCCACCAGUCGCUCUAUCUUAUAUUAUCAUUUUCUCACUCGCGCCCACAAUAAGUUUUAGUGAGAUCCGAUAUAUGGUAUUCUACUGAAUAAAAGAUAAUAAUACUCUAGUAGAUAGAUUCCGUUAAAGUAUCACCUUGAAUUGCUAAGGAUAUGAUAGUGUCUCUUCAGAGUUCAUUAGUGGAAGAUACUAAAGCCCGAAACAGCAAGGGAAAAGAGAUACCCCGAGACGGAAGACGGCAGUGAUGGAGGGUAGAGCGCGGGGGCGAGCCGCGCCGCCACGACGGCGGGACGCCGCCGACGGCCAUAAUCAGGACACAAGCGUGUAGAGCCACGGGGUGCAACAAAUCCCGGACGGCGGUCCUCAGGUGACAUCGCACGCUACAACUCUCCCACAUGAAACUUUAAUAUUUAGUAUUCGUGUGUCAUCUAUAUUGCGUUGAAUACGUUCUCGGGCCUUGUACACACCGCCCGUCACGUCAUGGGAGCUGGUAACACCUGAAGCCGGUAGCCUACCGCAGGGAGGAAGCGUCGAAGGUGGGGCUGGUAACUGGACGAAGUCUAACAAGUAAUGGCACGGCCAUGCGGCCGCCAUAUGUGUAUCGGCCCAAUCGCCAAUAGGAUCUAACACAGGGAAGGCAAAGAAGGAAACAGAAGAUA